RNAcentral lists this ribosomal RNA (246 nucleotides) under uncultured bacterium. RNAcentral's name for it is "partial 16S ribosomal RNA". It matches the Rfam family "Bacterial small subunit ribosomal RNA", at positions 334 to 572 of the family's 1533-position model. The record is from RNAcentral.
AUGUCCUACGGGAGGCAGCAGUAGGGAAUCUUCCACAAUGGGCGAAAGCCUGAUGGAGCAACGCCGCGUGGGUGAAGAAGGUCUUCGGAUCGUAAAACCCUGUUGUUAGAGAAGAAAGUGCGUGAGAGUAACUGUUCACGUUUCGACGGUAUCUGACCAGAAAGCCACGGCUAACUACGUGCCAGCAGCCGCGGUAAUACGUAGGUGGCAAGCGUUAUCCGGAUUUAUUGGGCGUAAAGGGACGGC